Molecule: long non-coding RNA, 5855 nt
Organism: Sceloporus undulatus (fence lizard)
Lineage: Eukaryota; Metazoa; Chordata; Lepidosauria; Squamata; Phrynosomatidae
Exons: 4
Source: RefSeq, a predicted model, not a curated record
GGUUGGUUUAGAUGGCCCUUGUGGUUUAUUCCAAUUCUAUGAUUCUAUGAACUAUGUGGUCAUGCCAUAUAUAUACCACCAGUGAUGAGCUAGGAAGUACAUAGGUAGAUUCUCAGACCCCUGCAUCAAUGUUCAACAAUAGCACACAGCACUAGAAACAGUCUAAAAAAGAGAAAGAUGGAAUUUUCAUUAUUCUUUGUAUUUUAUUUAUGUUAUUCCAUCUGCCUGAUAUUCAAACUGCAUAAAUCAUUAUAAUGUUUAUAUCUCACUUUUAAAAAUGAAGUGGUGUUAUAAGGCCAAAGUAUUGCCAUAUGCAUCAUUAAAACCACACCAAUCCAACUCCUACUGGGUAAGAAUAUACUGACAGUAACUUUCAUCACAGUUUCCCAUUAACACAUCUUGCUCUAGCAGAUGUCACCAGUGUGGUAUCACAAAAAUGUCAGUCUGAUGUUCAGGAUAAGCGGUAUUGUCAGAGCUUGGGAACCGUUACUCUUUUGGAUGACACCUCCCAGAAUGCCCGUCUAGCACAGCUGGUGGUCAUGCUAGUGGGUGGGGGAUUCCGGGAAUAGUGGUCUAAGAAAUGUAUUUCCAAGAUCUGGAAUCCAUCUUCCUUCCCAGGCUGACAAGACCAUGGCAGAAUGCAAAUCCCUGCAAUGAGAACAAAGGACCCUGGAACAUGGACCAGGCCAAAGAAAGGGCAACUUCAUCCAGCAUCCUGUUUUCCAGCAUCCUGGUUUUUUCCCCCUUUGUCCACCUGAUUUUUUUUAUUUUUCCUUCCACCAUUGUUUCUCAGUUACAGGAGAUUCAGAGAAGAGCUUCCAUCACUACUGCUGGAGCUUCAUGGCACAGAGUGCUUUCCACCAGUUUCUGCUGGAAGUUAAACUACAAUCUGGUCAAGAUAAGAUUUAGUGGCCUUUUAGAUCAGUGUUUCUCAAGUUAUGCAAAGUGCUGUGACCGUAUUUACACAACAGGCUGCCCUCUGGCCAAGUGCGGGUGGCGGUGGCAUUUCCUGCUGGGAGGUGGCAGGGGCAGAGGCAGGCUGGUUGGUUGGUUGGAAUGUAUCCCUAGUCUUUCCAUGUUCUAUGUAGUGGCCAAAUAGUAAGAAGAUCCUGUUGACUGCAAACCCAGAAAGAAUUAUAAUGAAGUUCUCUGAAAUCUCUUGCUUGUCCCCCCAAGGAGCAGCAACAGAUCCACUUCCUUGAUUGUGCCAAAAGAAUAUCAAUGUUAAGUGGUACAAAAAUGGGUUUAGCAAGACAAAGAGAAGCAGACUAAUAGUUAAAAUGUCUUUUCUAGUUGUGUGUUAGUUCAUACCUUUUGCAGUGCUGCCCUCUCUACCCUUUAUCACAAUAAGCUUUCUGAAGAAAAUAACUGAAAUGCAAACAGGCAACUGUUGUUAUGUGCCUUCAAGUCAAUCCUGUACUAUGGUGAUCCUUAUGAUGGGAUUUUCUUGGCAAGAUUUGUUCAGAGGGGGUUGCCUUUGCCUUCCACAGAAGCUGAGAAAGUGGGAUUCAACCAAGGUCACCCAAUGGGUUUCCAUGGUCAAGUGGGAAUUCAAACCAUGGUCUCCAGUCAUAGUCAAACCACUAUCCCACACUGGCUUUCAAAUUGCCUGAAAGCAUUUCUCCAUAUUUUUAGCCUGAUGGGGAUGGCGAUGGUAUCUGUCUGUCUGCUCCAGCCCCUUUUCAGGCUCAGCAGAAAGGGGAACAAGCCCUCGCAAGUGUCAUGCCUUAGUCUAUUGAUGCUCCUAUAAAGCUUUUCCUCACUUGGAUUUCCUUGUCCAAGAAACAUAUCCUUGCCAUCCAGAUACCCUCCUGUAAGGUUGCACUUCUGCUGUUCAUGCAGUGAAUCUUCCAAGUACCUGCAGAGCAAUAUUUGGUACUAAAGAAAAUUAAUAGCUCCCUAUUUGUACAACUCGAGUAGCUGGAGGCAGACAUUCAAUUCUGAAAUUCUGUAUUUAAGUCAAUACUAUAUUGGAGGGAAGGUUAUGAAAAAAAGUGACUCAUAUAUAAAAGCUGAAACUCAGCAUAUUCCUCCAGAAGAAGCAUCUGUUAUUACAUCCAGGUGAGCAUAUCGCCUUCCUGCUGAUUUCCCAAAUGCACUCCAUUUCAUAACUCUAAAAGAGAAUGGGUAGCAAAACUGAAUUGGUAAGAUGGAGCUAUGCUCUCUCCAGUCCCUGUAAAUGUAUAGAAAGUGGUCAAAUGACAGUGACAGAAGAAGCCAGGAAUGCAAAGAAUAAAUAUACCCCCCUCCAAAGUUCAGCACUCUCAAAUCCCAAUUGGUUUUCCACAGGAACACACAGCUUUUCUAUUAAAAUCCCCUGGACUUUUGAAAACGGCCUAAGUAUUUGGAUUCAGCACAACAUUUAUCAGCUUUCUAGAGUCCAUUUGUGCUUGGAGGAAAUCGCUCUUCAAAAAUAUGGAAAAGGUACAUUCCAACCUCAAUCACUUUUCUUAUUCUGAAGUAAAGCACAAAAAAAUGUUGCCCAAUAGAUUAAAUUAAUUUUAAAGCAACAUUAUUUGUUGCACAAAGCACUAUGUGAUUAGGAACAUUUCUUUAAUAGAUUCUAACUUGUCAAACAGUACAUCAUGUAUUGAGAUGGUUUUGACUAAUGGCAAUCAAAAUAUUAUGAUCAUUCUGUUCAUAUAAUAAAACUUGUUUUACAGACUGAACUAGGUUGAAACCUCUUCUUUGCAUAGCACACAGAAAGUAAGGAUUCUGCAUUAUAGGUUUAUAAAUUAUGGAGUCAUUGAUAGUAAGAGUUAUAAUAUUCCCUAGGAAACCAUUAAAUUAAGAACAUUUCAGUAGAAAUCAUCUAGCCUAGCUUUCCUCAACCUAGUGUUUUCCAGAUAUUUUGGACUACAGAUCCCACCCUUCAUGACCACUGGCUAUGCAGGCUGGGGUUGGCGAAAGUUGUUGUCCAACAUAUUUGGAGGACACAGUGUUGGGUAAAGCUGUUCUAAUAAAACAGUAUUACCAAUUACUAAGACAGUGAGAACAUUUUCAUCCUAUGGUUUAUAGCUUUGCCUUAUACCUGAUCUUCUGCAGUGCUUCAAUGCACUCUUUCACCAGCCGAGUUGCCUCUUUUGCUGUGCCCUGGUGCACUGAAAAGCCACCACCACCAUGCCCAUAAUUGUGGACCACCAGCAGCUUCUUAUUGCCAUGGACCAGUGUCUCUUUCUGAACUCUCACAGCAGACCUCGAUGGCCUCAGGCCCACCUUCACCUGGACAUCCUGAACUGUCUGAAGUGAUGGCUCAAGAGCACAACACCGGCUAAAUAUGUCCUUGCUGGUACCGGGAUCCAGAGACAGGUUCCAGUCGUUUUUUUGCCUCGUCCCACCUAACGUUACAUUGUGUAUCCCUGGAUAGAUGUAUGUUAGUCCGUCCCCAUCACGAAUGAAGUGUGUGGCCCAAGGAGCAUGAACCUUGAGAACUUGGCCUCUGGUGGGGUAUAUCUCUAGGUCUCCUAUAAGCUUCCUGGAGCCAAUGCCUGAACAGUUCACUACAAUGUCAUAGCUGGCAUGCAGUUCCCACAGGUCUUCUAUUUUUCUAGCUUGCACCUGGCCUCCAUUUUCUUUCAGCCUGUGAACAAAAUGCCAGAGGUAAAAAAUGUGGCAACAACCUGUUCACAUGAAUUCUCUAUUUGGACAAUUAUUACAUGGGGACAAAAGCAUCAGAGAAUGUCCAGCAUGUUGAAAUUGUGCAGCUGCUAGGAAAACUAGACAAAGAAUACAAACUAGAUCUCAGAUGCCAUUCAGAAACCCCAGACAGAAGGAGCAGGCAUUUUAGGGAAAUUGUGUUGGAGUUAUUCCCGCUCUCUGUAAUACAAAGGACUGAGAACCUCACUACUCAUUCAAAAUUUGAAGGUAUAGAAUAUGAAGAUCAACUCUGUGAGGACACUUCUGAGGAUACUUUGGUAGAUGUUUAUGCAUAGAUAGUCCUUUCCUGCUAUAUUUUCAGUUUAUUAUCCCUUGGUUUAUUCUUUUUAAUUCCUCUUCUUCUAGUUUUUCUUUCAAUGUGAUUUUUGCACCAGAAAAAAUAAAAUAAAUGGGGACAAAAAGGAAAGACACUUUGCUUAAAUAAUACCACCACAAAAAAUGCUCCAAUCAUAAUAGAUCUGGGUGUCUCCAAGACAUCCCCAAAAGAGGAAGCAUGUGUGUACAGGGCACAGAUUGGGAAUAUUCUAUCCCCUUUCACUAUCAGGUACACCCUCCACUCAGCAAGUAAGGUGUGCCACCAAAUUAUAGCACUUCUCAUUCCAUCUAUUGUUGUUAGAAUGCUGGGGCCAGAAUUCCAAUAAUCAUGCAAUUUGUUCUGUGUUUCAAAUGGGAACUUUAGGUUUCUGUUUCCAGAAUAGCAGCACCCACAACCCUACAAUUUUGCAAGGUACAUUUGGAAAUGAGGAGAAUUUUCACAACUAAUUGCUGGUAUGAGUUUGAUUACCAAAAAAGAAAAAUAGCAGUAAAAACAAUGCCAUCACCACACUGGGUAUAAUCAAAGUAAUUCUCAGAUUCCAGACCUGGUACUUAAAGCAUGAAUUUGCACAUAUGAGGAUACUGAUGACAUCCAAGCCUGUGUAUCAAACUCACCAAGAGUCUAAGUGUAUACACCAAAUAAUACUAGAGACAGAACAGAACGUUAAAGGAGACUGGUAUCUCUCAACACCUUUGCAGAACAGAAAAUAGCAAAGCCCUCAAACUAUUUACAUAUGCACACUUAUUGUACCUCUCAACCAGUGGUUUCUAGUCUUCUGUGACUGUGCAUCACAUGGCAAUCUCAAGUUGCAAGGGCCCCUUUCUUCACUUGGUGGACAUUUCCAUUCCCAUCACUUUAUGCUAAAAUCUCAACAUUCAUCAGGGACGUAGCUUGGAUUUUAGGAAGGGGGGGGGUCCAGACUAAGUGCCACCAUUAUAAUGGGGCUUGAGUGCGGCGGCGCAGCAGCACACACCAUUCAUUUUUCUAAUGGAAGGGGGGGUCCGGACCCCCAGAUCCCCCCCCUGGCUACAUCCCUGCAUUCAUCUGUGCAAUACAUGCUCAGUGCAUGCUCAUUUCCUACCAGCAAGUGCCUUCGUUGUUAUUUCUUUAAAUGACCCUCUAGUGUCUUCAAGAAUUCUACUGUUCAUAUGAAAUCAGAUAAUGGAUAGUUUAGCCACAAGGAAAAGAUAACGCAAACAACUUUAGCUGCCUGCAACACAGACAUCCAGGUCUGAUAUUCCUAUUUACAUUUUGGAGUUUUAGAUUUGAGUUGUCCCAGAGUUUUAAAUUCUGAAUUUUCACUGUCUGAUUAAAAUUAUGUAAACCUUCUAGGAAAUACCGUGUUUUGAAAGAGAGACUAGAGAUGUUGCAAAUAAUUGCCGGAAUCCUGUUACAUUGUGUAACUUUAAGUAUACCUUGGUAUGUAGAAGAAUGUCAGAAGCUGAAUCUUUCUGCUUGCCUCCCAUGGUUUGUAGUAUUAACUAAAGGGGGGGGGGCAUAACUUGACUUGCUUGUUAUUUGCUGUGCAUUUAACAUGUUAUACAGUACUGUGGGUAAAUGAUGGGAUAUAUAGUGAUACGAUAAUUACUAAACAACUGUUGGCCACAUUUCUUAGUAGUUAAUGAAAAUAUAGAAGGCAGUUGAGGCUGCUUCAAGAACAUCCAAGGUUGGGAACUUCUGCAGUGGGGGAAGAAUGGAGGCUCCAUGAGAUAAGGGAAAGAAAAUAAUGUUUUGCUGUUGUAACAAAGAAGAAGGAAGUAUGCCAAAGAUCUGAACUGUGUGUGUUUCAGUUAUUCCUUGCUAGCACUUGCUUGUUAUUCCUGACAACAAAUGUCUCUGAUAGAUAUCUCUAAUUGCUGAAUAAAGGUUUUCUGAGUUUUUA